Molecule: ribosomal RNA, 564 nt
Filed under: Hyloscirtus palmeri (Palmer's treefrog)
Lineage: Eukaryota; Metazoa; Chordata; Amphibia; Anura; Hylidae
Description: partial 16S ribosomal RNA
Rfam family: Bacterial large subunit ribosomal RNA
Source: RNAcentral
CGCCUCUUGAACAAAUAUAGGAGGUCCCGCCUGCCCAGUGAAUUAAUUUAACGGCCGCGGUAUCCUAACCGUGCAAAGGUAGCGUAAUCAUUUGUCCUUUAAAUGGGGACUAGUAUGAACGGCUCCACGAAGGUUUUACUGUCUCCUUUUUCUAAUCAGUGAAACUAAUCUUCCCGUGAAGAAGCGGGAAUAUUUACAUAAGACGAGAAGACCCUAUGAAGCUUUAAACAUAGCAAUAGAUAUUACUUAGCAAUAAUUUUAUGAACAAUCACACAAAGUAAUCCCUAUAAUUGCCAGUUUUCGGUUGGGGCGACCACGGAGCAAAAAAGAACCUCCGAGUAGAAUGGAAUUUAACCCUGAACAAAAAGCUUCGACUUUAUGUACCAAUAAAUUGACUUCUAUUGACCCAAUAUAUUGACCAACGAACCAAGUUACCCUAGGGAUAACAGCGCAAUCCACUUCAAGAGCCCCUAUCGACAAGUGGGCUUACGACCUCGAUGUUGGAUCAGGGUAUCCUGAUGGUGUAGCCGCUAUCAAUGGUUUGUUUGUUCAACAAUUAAAACC